Molecule: long non-coding RNA, 727 nt
Organism: Gallus gallus (chicken)
Lineage: Eukaryota; Metazoa; Chordata; Aves; Galliformes; Phasianidae
Source: Ensembl
CAUGUUUCUACCCACCUUGUUGUCACAGAUGGGUCUGGGUCUGAAACGUGCAGCAGAGGACGUCACCCAGCCACUGCUUCAUUGUCAGGGCUCGUCUGUGCCUGCAUGACCCACAUACCUCUGGGUCAUCUCGAGACCUAUCAGGCAGAUCGAGUUAUUCAAGACAUAAAGAAAUGGCAAAAUAGCAGAGUGUAGUGAAGGUAAAUGGAAAGGCAGUGGAAAAGCCUGGCAAACGCAGUAGAAGUUUUUGUGCUUUUUUUUUCUAAAGAAGGCAAGCGUAAUCCUCAUCUUUAAGCCAUCCUUUAAUAUCCUACUUCGUUUUACACUGGAAUUAGAAAAUCUUUUCCAUUUGUUUUAAUUAUCUGCUGACUUUAAUUCUGCCUUUGAAAAACGUUUUUGCUAUGACAACCCCAGCUAUCGUGAAAUGCUAACCAUUGCUGCUGUGAUCACCACCGCUGAAAAACUGAGAGCUGUACUAAGAAGCUGUGCCAGUCAGCAGGUAUUUCUGUGUGUGUCACAGUAAAUCUCUGCGUUAGGAUGUUGUUUCCUGUGUUAAGCCAGUGCUCAGUGCCUUCUGGAGGAGGAACCAACAUGUUGCAGUAGGCUGGAGGUGCUGAACGUCUCGUGUCUUCUUUGGAACAGCUGAUCACUUAUCAGCUUGAUGCUUUAAAAAAAAAGUAUUAAAAAGCCACUUGAAUUCUCCAUCUUCCUUUGAGGCUUCUUCUCA